UAGAGUACUGUCACUUCUCCAACGGGU
Molecule: non-coding RNA, 27 nt
Filed under: Cricetulus griseus (Chinese hamster)
Lineage: Eukaryota; Metazoa; Chordata; Mammalia; Rodentia; Cricetidae
Source: RNAcentral